GACGAACGCUGGCGGCGUGCUUAACACAUGCAAGUCGAACGGUGAAGCGAGUGCUUGCACUCGUGGAUCAGUGGCGAACGGGUGAGUAACACGUGAGUAACCUGCCCUUCACUCUGGGAUAAGCACUGGAAACGGUGUCUAAUACUGGAUACGACCAACCCUUGCAUGGGGUGUUGGUGGAAAGAUUUAUCGGUGAUGGAUGGACUCGCGGCCUAUCAGCUUGUUGGCGGGGUAAUGGCCCACCAAGGCGACGACGGGUAGCCGGCCUGAGAGGGUGACCGGCCACACUGGGACUGAGACACGGCCCAGACUCCUACGGGAGGCAGCAGUGGGGAAUAUUGCACAAUGGGCGAAAGCCUGAUGCAGCGACGCCGCGUGAGGGAUGACGGCCUUCGGGUUGUAAACCUCUUUCAGCAGGGAAGAAGCGAAAGUGACGGUACCUGCAGAAGAAGCACCGGCUAACUACGUG
Molecule: ribosomal RNA, 469 nt
Filed under: uncultured bacterium
Lineage: Bacteria
Description: partial 16S ribosomal RNA
Rfam family: Bacterial small subunit ribosomal RNA
Source: RNAcentral